Molecule: ribosomal RNA, 515 nt
Filed under: uncultured bacterium
Lineage: Bacteria
Description: partial 16S ribosomal RNA
Rfam family: Bacterial small subunit ribosomal RNA
Source: RNAcentral
AGCGAACGCUGGCGGCGUGCCUAACACAUGCAAGUCGAACGUGAACGGGGGCAACCCUUAGUAAAGUGGCGUACGGGUGAGUAACACGUAGGUAAUCCACCCUAGAGUCUGGAAUAACCGGCCGAAAGGCUGGCUAAUACUGGAUAGAGCGACGGAACUCGUAAAGGGUUUUUCGGGAAAGGGAGCUCGCAAGAGCCCUCGCUUUAGGAUGAGCCUGCGUCCCAUCAGGUAGUUGGUAGGGUAAUGGCCUACCAAGCCUUUGACGGGUAGCUGGUCCGAAGGGAUGAACAGCCAACCUGGAACUGAAACACGGUCCAGACUCCUACGGGAGGCAGCAGUGGGGAAUCUUGCGCAAUGGGGGAAAGCCUGACGCAGCCACGCCGCGUGAGUGAAGAAGGCCUUCGGGUUGUAAAGCUCUGUCGGGAGGGACGAACCUCAUUGGUGUUAACAGCGCCAGUGACUGACGGUACCUCCAAAGGAAGCACCGGCUAACUUCGUGCCAGCAGCCGCCGUAA